Molecule: long non-coding RNA, 2540 nt
Filed under: Anas platyrhynchos platyrhynchos (common mallard)
Lineage: Eukaryota; Metazoa; Chordata; Aves; Anseriformes; Anatidae
Description: lncRNA (ENSAPLG00000027329.1)
Source: RNAcentral
GCUUGGACAGGAAAAGAAUUGCCUCUCCUGCCAAUAUUUUUAAGAGUUCAGUAUUAUUGUUUUGUUUUAUUUUGUUGUUGUUUUUGUUGUUGUUGUUGUUGUUGUUCUGUUUUGUUUUUAAUCUGCUUCCAGCUGGUAUGCUAUCAAAGUUUUUCUAAAUGUUAAGGGACAAAAGAGAAAAGACCAAGAAAACACUAUAAAGGCUGUUGAUUCCACAGCUCCGACUGCUCUUGGAUGCUGUGUCCUGUGCAUUUGCCCUGAGGAUGAUGUAUGCUGAGCUGAUUUAUGAACAACAUAAAUCUACUUUUCUUCAGUCCAUUGCACUUUCUCAGACUCUUCAGAUCCCUUGUAAAAGCUAAUCUCCAUUUCAAAAGCACAGGCAUAUAACAGGUGAGAGAAAUGACUACCUAUUUCCCAGAUGGAAAAUCAGUAGAGAAGGAGGAGACUUGACAACCUAGUACAUUCAAUUUUUGACUUUGUUAAUAAGAGGAGAGAAGCAUGUGACUAUCAUGAGGUAAAGGUGAGGAUUGGCUUUCUGAAGUAUGAUAAUGCACCACAGAGGCAAAGAAAAUGAUAAUGAACCACAGAGGCAAAGUAGCUUCCGCAAAGGUUGACUUCCAACUCUGUUUCUCUUGUUUACCAGGGCCAAAACAACUUUUUUUUUUUUUUUUUUCCCCUGAAAUUUUCUGCAGCAUUAGAGACAUCUAGUGGCUGAAGAGAGUAAAACAAGGACGCAUGUCGACAGGUCCUAAUCCAGGAGAAAUCACGGGUCAGUCACCGACUUCAACAGAGUUGAGGAAAGGAAAACAUUAUCUCUCCUGCUAUUGCCACUGUCCUCCCCUACCUCCCAAAAUAUUGGUCUGGAAAAAGAGAGUAGGUGUGGAUGAAUGAUGAUAAAAGAUACAUACAAAAGUGCCCAACUUCCUCUAAACGGAAAAGAGAUAGAUGAAGGACUUGACUCAGUAGUAAAGCCAGCAUUAGCCAUGUGCACUCUGUUAAGAUAUCGUGAAUGUGUUACCAAUUCUGACCAUAAAUCUACUGUCUACAUAAAAUAAUAAAGAACAACAUCCACUUGACUGUAAACUACCAAGAAAUGAAGUAGAAUUCUGUCUCUUUGUAUAUGACAAUUGCCUUAAUCUUUUUUCUUUAUUAUUUUUUCAAUUAAAUUAUAUGCAUUUGUCAGCAUAUUCAUAAACAAUGUCUUUAAUAAUUUUCUUAAAGUAAACAGCACAGAAUUAAUAGAUUUUUCAGGUUAAAAUGGUGUUAUUCAAAAGCAGUUAAUGUGUAUGAUUUAUCCAUCACCUCUGUGUGAAGUCUUUGAAAAGGUUCUUUUGUUCUAAAGUUAGGGGGUGGAAUAAGAACAACCACAAUAAUGCAAUAAUGCGUAGCAGUGAGAUUAAAGGAGGAGACACUCAAAUGGCAUUCAUCUCAGACGUACUCUGCUAAGACGAACAAAAGGGCUUCAUCAUUUUUAUUUUCUGAAUUGUGUUGUCAAAGGGCUAAGCCUAGAACAAAACUUCAGGCCAGGAUUAGUUUUACCAAACUUUAAGAAACAAAUAUAAGUUAGAUGUCUAGGACAGAUUUUUCAUACCUUAAAUAGUUGUCCAGUCCAAGUUAAUCCUAGAUAUCCUCUUUAUAAAAAGUGAGAAGAAACAGAUUUCUAGAAGACUUUUUUUUUUUUUUUUUGACCAAAAUUGAAUGAUUAAGACUAGAAAAGCAGACCUCUGGUUUGUCCCUUUCUUUCUGACUUCUACACAGACCACAUGUCUAUUUUAAAGUUAAUGUCUAACAUUCAGAUGAGCAAAAUUAAAACAAUCACCACUGAGGAGAAGUACAGUUCUGUGUUGUGGGAAUCUUUUCCCUACCCCAGAAAUAUUUGUGUGUGUAGCUGCAAUCAUAUAUGAAUGGUAACUAGCUCCUCCUUAAAUAUUUCCAAGUCAAAACAAACUUUCAAAUAAUAUCAAACUCACAAUGUGAUUUUAUUAUCUGCACUAUUAGUUUGCAAGUUUAAUCAUUUGAACUUAUUGAUUCAUUCUUGGUUGUGACCUCCAUUUGAUCAUUGCUUUGUGCCGCUUUUGAUUAGCUUAGUGAACCUGCAAUACAUUUGGCUCAGCAACAUGUGUAAGUGCAUUUUUGUUCAUUCAUACUGCUUUACAAAAUCUUUCAAAAUAUGCACAAUAAGCUUAUCCUUUUUAAGUACCAUAUGGAUCACAAAUACUGAAGGAAUGCAUUUCCUUGUUUAAGAAAUCUACAAGCCACUUUACCAGGAUCAUAAGUUAAUGAUUUUUUUUUUUCCUUUUCCCACAAAACUAGCACUGUAUGGAUUAUAGUUUAUAUGUGCCAACAAACAGCAUUGGGUUUUGGUCAUUUCCAUGUGGAAACCUUUGGGGAGAUGAUCAGCUGAGGAAAGGAUAAGGAGAAGAACUGGUCAAAACGAAAACAAAAAAAUACCCUUCCCCUUCCCUUUCCUUGCCCUUGCCCUUCCCUUCUGCCCUCCCCCCCCACUUUCCAUCCCCAAAUAAAAAAGUCACACACACACA